RNAcentral lists this ribosomal RNA (773 nucleotides) under uncultured Neocallimastigales. RNAcentral describes it as "partial large subunit ribosomal RNA". It matches the Rfam family "Eukaryotic large subunit ribosomal RNA", at positions 22 to 635 of the family's 3401-position model. The record is from RNAcentral. Lineage: Eukaryota; Fungi; Neocallimastigomycota; Neocallimastigomycetes; Neocallimastigales.
GUACACGCUGUGACUAGCAUAUCAAUAAGCGGAGGAAAAGAAACUAACAAGGAUUCCCCUAGUAACGGCGAGUGAAGCGGGAAGAGCUCAAAUUUGAAAUCUUAAAGGGUUUCCCUUUACGAAUUGUAGUUUAAAGAAGUGUUUUCUGUUGAGGUUUUGGUAAAAUUCUUUGGAAUAGGACAUCAUAGAGGGUGAGAAUCCCGUAUUUGACCUUUACUUUCAACUUUGUGAUACACUUUCAAAGAGUCGGAUUGUUUGGGAAUGCAGUCCAAAAUGGGUGGUAAAUUUCAUCUAAAGCUAAAUAUUGGCGAGAGACCGAUAGCGAACAAGUACCGUGAGGGAAAGAUGAAAAGAACUUUGAAAAGAGAGUUAAACAGUACGUGAAAUUGUCAAAAGGGAAGCGUUUGACACCAGUGUUGUUUUUCUGAAAAUCAAUUAAAGAACUGUUUAUGCUAAGCUGUUUAGACUUUAUCAGCUAUCUGUUUAGUUUUGAGCUUUUCUCUAAUGCACUUUUCAGUUAACAAGUCAACAUCAAUUUCUUUUGCUGUAAAAAAGCUUGAGGAAGGUGGCUUGAGAUUCGUCUUAAGUGCUUAUAGCCUCUUGCCUAUGCAGUCGGAGAGAUUGAGGUCUGCAGCGUAGAUCCUUCGGGGCUAAAUGCAUUUGUGCUAAGUUAUAGCAUUUUAUAGACAACUUGUUGACUAUGAUUUGUCUUGUAGCUUACUCGCUUAUGUUAUUUUACCUACGCUUAGGAUGUUGAUAUGCAUGACUGAUAU